RNAcentral lists this ribosomal RNA (301 nucleotides) under uncultured bacterium. Its description in RNAcentral is "partial 16S ribosomal RNA". It matches the Rfam family "Bacterial small subunit ribosomal RNA", at positions 509 to 807 of the family's 1533-position model. The record is from RNAcentral.
CAGUCGCCGCGGGAAUACGAAGGGUGCAAGCGUUAAUCGGAAUUACUGGGCGUAAAGCGUGCGUAGGCGGUUUGUUAAGUCUGCUGUGAAAUCCCCGGGCUCAACCUGGGAAUGGCAGUGGAUACUGGCAAGCUAGAGUGUGUCAGGGGAUGGUGGAAUUCCCGGUGUAGCGGUGAAAUGCGUAGAGAUCGGGAGGAACAUCAGUGGCGAAGGCGGCCAUCUGGGACAACACUGACGCUGAGGCACGAAAGCGUGGGGAGCAAACAGGAUUAGAUACCCCCGUAGUCCCUGUCUCUUAUAC